CCCGCUGAACUUAAGCAUAUCAAUAAGCGGAGGAAAAGAAACCAACAGGGAUUGCCUUAGUAACGGCGAGUGAAGCGGCAACAGCUCAAAUUUGAAAUCUGGCUCCUUGGGGCCCGAGUUGUAAUUUGUAGAGGAUGCUUCGGCUUGUUUUCCGGUCUAAGUUCCUUGGAACAGGACGUCACAGAGGGUGAGAAUCCCGUAUGUGCCCGGCAAAGCUCGCCAUGUGAAGCUCCUUCGACGAGUCGAGUUGUUUGGGAAUGCAGCUCUAAAUGGGAGGUAAAUUUCUCCUAAAGCUAAAUAUUGGCCAGAGACCGAUAGCGCACAAGUAGAGUGAUCGAAAGAUGAAAAGCACUUUGAAAAGAGAGUCAAAAAGUACGUGAAAUUGUUGAAAGGGAAGCGCUUGCAACCAGACCUGACCGCAAUUGCUCAUCCGGGCUCUGCCCGGUGCACUCUUUUGUGGCCAGGCCAGCAUCGGUUUGGGCGGUCGUAUAAAGGCCGCGGGAAUGUGGCUCCUCUCGGGGAGUGUUAUAGCCCGCGGUGCAAUGCGGCCAGCCCGGACCGAGGUCCGCGCUCCGGCUAGGAUGCUGGCGUAAUGGUUGUAAGCGGCCCGUCUUGAAACACGG
Molecule: ribosomal RNA, 623 nt
Filed under: uncultured fungus
Lineage: Eukaryota; Fungi
Description: eukaryotic LSU rRNA
Rfam family: Eukaryotic large subunit ribosomal RNA
Source: RNAcentral